AUGCAAGUCGAACGAGUUCUGAUUAUUGAAAGGUGCUUGCAUCUUGAUUUAAUUUUGAACGAGUGGCGGACGGGUGAGUAACACGUGGGUAACCUGCCCUUAAGUGGGGGAUAACAUUUGGAAACAGAUGCUAAUACCGCAUAAAUCCAAGAACCGCAUGGUUCUUGGCUGAAAGAUGGCGUAAGCUAUCGCUUUUGGAUGGACCCGCGGCGUAUUAGCUAGUUGGUGAGGUAACGGCUCACCAAGGCAAUGAUACGUAGCCGAACUGAGAGGUUGAUCGGCCACAUUGGGACUGAGACACGGCCCAAACUCCUACGGGAGGCAGCAGUAGGGAAUCUUCCACAAUGGACGCAAGUCUGAUGGAGCAACGCCGCGUGAGUGAAGAAGGCUUUCGGGUCGUAAAACUCUGUUGUUGGAGAAGAAUGGUCGGCAGAGUAACUGUUGUCGGCGUGACGGUAUCCAACCAGAAAGCCACGGCUAACUACGUGCCAGCAGCCGCGGUAAUACGUAGGUGGCAAGCGUUAUCCGGAUUUAUUGGGCGUAAAGCGAGCGCAGGCGGUUUUUUAAGUCUGAUGUGAAAGCCCUCGGCUUAACCGAGGAAGUGCAUCGGAAACUGGGAAACUUGAGUGCAGAAGAGGACAGUGGAACUCCAUGUGUAGCGGUGAAAUGCGUAGAUAUAUGGAAGAACACCAGUGGCGAAGGCGGCUGUCUGGUCUGUAACUGACGCUGAGGCUCGAAAGCAUGGGUAGCGAACAGGAUUAGAUACCCUGGUAGUCCAUGCCGUAAACGAUGAAUGCUAGGUGUUGGAGGGUUUCCGCCCUUCAGUGCCGCAGCUAACGCAUUAAGCAUUCCGCCUGGGGAGUACGACCGCAAGGUUGAAACUCAAAGGAAUUGACGGGGGCCCGCACAAGCGGUGGAGCAUGUGGUUUAAUUCGAAGCAACGCGAAGAACCUUACCAGGUCUUGACAUCUUUUGAUCACCUGAGAGAUCAGGUUUCCCCUUCGGGGGCAAAAUGACAGGUGGUGCAUGGUUGUCGUCAGCUCGUGUCGUGAGAUGUUGGGUUAAGUCCCGCAACGAGCGCAACCCUUAUGACUAGUUGCCAGCAUUUAGUUGGGCACUCUAGUAAGACUGCCGGUGACAAACCGGAGGAAGGUGGGGAUGACGUCAAAUCAUCAUGCCCCUUAUGACCUGGGCUACACACGUGCUACAAUGGAUGGUACAACGAGUUGCGAGACCGCGAGGUCAAGCUAAUCUCUUAAAGCCAUUCUCAGUUCGGACUGUAGGCUGCAACUCGCCUACACGAAGUCGGAAUCGCUAGUAAUCGCGGAUCAGCACGCCGCGGUGAAUACGUUCCCGGGCCUUGUACACACCGCCCGUCACACCAUGAGAGUUUGUAACACCCGAAGCCGGUGGCGUAACCCUUUUAGGGAGCGAGCCGUCU
RNAcentral lists this ribosomal RNA (1441 nucleotides) under Lacticaseibacillus rhamnosus. RNAcentral describes it as "bacterial SSU rRNA". It matches the Rfam family "Bacterial small subunit ribosomal RNA". The record is from RNAcentral. Lineage: Bacteria; Bacillati; Bacillota; Bacilli; Lactobacillales; Lactobacillaceae.